CGAACGCUGGCGGCGUGCUUAACACAUGCAAGUCGAACGGAAAGGCCCCUUUGGGGGUACUCGAGUGGCGAACGGGUGAGUAACACGUGAGUAACCUGCCCUUGACUUCGGGAUAACUUCAGGAAACUGGGGCUAAUACCGGAUAGGAAUCCUUGCUGCAUGGUGGGGGUUGGAAAGCUUCGGCGGUUUUGGAUGGACUCGCGGCUUAUCAGCUUGUUGGUGGGGUAGUGGCUUACCAAGGCUUUGACGGGUAGCCGGCCUGAGAGGGCGACCGGCCACAGUGGGACUGAGAUACGGCCCAGACUCCUACGGGAGGCAGCAGUGGGGAAUAUUGCACAAUGGGCGGAAGCCUGAUGCAGCAACGCCGCGUGCGGGAUGACGGCCUUCGGGUUGUAAACCGCUUUCAGCAGGGGCGAAGCUUGUGGUGACGGUACCUGCAGAAGAAGCACCGGCUAACUACGUG
RNAcentral lists this ribosomal RNA (463 nucleotides) under uncultured bacterium. RNAcentral describes it as "partial 16S ribosomal RNA". It matches the Rfam family "Bacterial small subunit ribosomal RNA", at positions 30 to 507 of the family's 1533-position model. The record is from RNAcentral.